Molecule: microRNA, 18 nt
Filed under: Macrophomina phaseolina MS6
Lineage: Eukaryota; Fungi; Ascomycota; Dothideomycetes; Botryosphaeriales; Botryosphaeriaceae
Description: miR-H10
Source: RNAcentral
GGGUGCGAGGGUUGGCGG